RNAcentral lists this unclassified non-coding RNA (191 nucleotides) under uncultured fungus. RNAcentral describes it as "sequence contains ITS1". Lineage: Eukaryota; Fungi. The record is from RNAcentral.
UUAACUAUUAUGUAAUACUUGGACAAUACAAAUCAAGAGUUUAAGGUCCUCUGGCAGGCACUGACCAGCUAAUGCCAGUAGUCAAAAGACAGGCCUGCCAAAGCAACAAAGGUAUAGUAAACAAAGGGUAGAGAUCUACCCUAAGGGGCAAGUUCUCUAUAAUGAUCCUUCCGCAGGUUCACCUACGGAAA